GAUUAACGCUGGCGGCGUGCCUAAUACAUGCAAGUCGAGCGAACGGACGAGAAGCUUGCUUUUCUGAUGUUAGCGGCGGACGGGUGAGUAACACGUGGAUAACCUACCUAUAAGACUGGGAUAACUUCGGGAAACCGGAGCUAAUACCGGAUAAUAUUUUGAACCGCAUGGUUCAAAAGUGGAAGACGGUCUUGCUGUCACUUAUAGAUGGAUCCGCGCUGCAUUAGCUAGUUGGUAAGGUAACGGCUUACCAAGGCAACGAUGCAUAGCCGACCUGAGAGGGUGAUCGGCCACACUGGAACUGAGACACGGUCCAGACUCCUACGGGAGGCAGCAGUAGGGAAUCUUCCGCAAUGGGCGAAAGCCUGACGGAGCAACGCCGCGUGAGUGAUGAAGGUCUUCGGAUCGUAAAACUCUGUUAUUAGGGAAGAACAUAUGUGUAAGUAACUGUGCACAUCUUGACGGUACCUAAUCAGAAAGCCACGGCUAACUACGUG
Molecule: ribosomal RNA, 497 nt
Filed under: uncultured bacterium
Lineage: Bacteria
Description: partial 16S ribosomal RNA
Rfam family: Bacterial small subunit ribosomal RNA
Source: RNAcentral